RNAcentral lists this small nucleolar RNA (233 nucleotides) under Anopheles melas. RNAcentral describes it as "small nucleolar RNA SNORA73 family". Lineage: Eukaryota; Metazoa; Arthropoda; Insecta; Diptera; Culicidae. The record is from RNAcentral.
GCGACAGGAAAUUACCUCACGGGGAGGAAUCAGCUUGCCUGAAUCCUACCGUUCGGGGGCCGGCAAUGGUAGUUCAAUCCAGGGCUGUUCCUCGAUGUCGCAGAUUAAAUUGCCCCUUCGGAAAAGUCCUUCUUUUUCGUAAGUGUGGCGAUGAACGGUAUAUUCCUUAACCUUCGUCGUAACUUCGUCCCGUUGGGCGGUGAUCACGGAGAUAAACCAUACUGUUCACAUUU